This 301-nucleotide ribosomal RNA is filed under the name uncultured bacterium. RNAcentral's name for it is "partial 16S ribosomal RNA". It matches the Rfam family "Bacterial small subunit ribosomal RNA", at positions 509 to 807 of the family's 1533-position model. The record is from RNAcentral.
CAGUCGCCGCGGGAAUACGUAGGGUGCAAGCGUUAAUCGGAAUUACUGGGCGUAAAGCGUGCGCAGGCGGUUUUGUAAGACAGAGGUGAAAUCCCAGGGCUCAACCUGGGAACUGCCUUUGUGACUGCAAGGCUAGAGUACGGCAGAGGGGGAUGGAAUUCCGCGUGUAGCAGUGAAAUGCGUAGAUAUGCGGAGGAACACCGAUGGCGAAGGCAAUCCCCUGGGCCUGUACUGACGCUCAUGCACGAAAGCGUGGGGAGCAAACAGGAUUAGAUACCCCAGUAGUCCCUGUCUCUUAUAC